UAAUUACAUUCCAUUUUUCUGUAAGCAUAUGGUUCUCUUAAAGGAUUUUAGUUAUUCAAGCUUAUCCUUGAAUUUUGUAUCUUACUGCAGUCAAGUAUGUGAUUAUGGGAACUAGACUUGGAAGACAUAUAUAGGUCAUUGAAAACAAAGACCCUGCACAUACAGAUGAUCUAGAAAGGGGAAAAAAAAAGACAUGACUUUCAAAACAAA
This 210-nucleotide unclassified non-coding RNA is filed under the name Hevea brasiliensis (rubber tree). The record is from RNAcentral. Lineage: Eukaryota; Viridiplantae; Streptophyta; Magnoliopsida; Malpighiales; Euphorbiaceae.